CGCACGGGUGAGUAACGCGUAGGCAAUCUGCCCAUAGCAGGGAGAUAACCACUGGAAACGGUGGCUAAUAUCGCAUAAUGCAGCGGGGUCGCAUGACCACAGUUGUUAAAGGACUUCGGUCCAGCUAUGGAUGAGCCUGCGUGCCAUUAGUUAGUUGGUAGGGUAACGGCCUACCAAGGCGAUGAUGGCUAGGGGGUCUGAGAGGAUGAUCCCCCACACUGGGACUGAGACACGGCCCAGACUCCUACGGGAGGCAGCAGUGAGGAAUCUUGCGCAAUGGAGGAAACUCUGACGCAGCCACGCCGCGUGCCGGAAGACGGCCCUAUGGGUUGUAAACGGCUUUUGAUUGGGAAGAACUAGUGGGUUUCGACCUGCUUUGACGGUACCAUUUGAAUAAGCACCGGCUAACUCCGUGCCAGCAGCCGCGGUAAUACGGAGGGUGCAAGCGUUGUCCGGAAUCAUUGGGUGUAAAGGGUGCGUAGGCUGGUAUCUAAGUCUGGGGUGAAAUCUUGCCGCUUAACGGUAAAAUUGCCUUGGAUACUGGAUAUCUUGAAUCUGACAGAGGUCGGUGGAAUUCGUGGUGUAGCGGUGAAAUGCAUAGAUAUCACGAAGAACAUCAGUGGCGAAGGCGGCCGGCUGGGUCAGUAUUGACGCUGAGGCACGAGAGCGUGGGGAGCGAACAGGAUUAGAUACCCUGCUAGUCCACGCUGUAAACGAUGUAUGCUAGUUGUUGGGCCUUUGGGUUCAGUGACGCAGUUAACGCAGUAAGCAUACCACCUGGGGAGUACGUUCGCAGAUGAAACUCAAAGGAAUUGACGGGGCCCGCACAAGCGGUGGAGCAUGUGGCUAAUUCGAUGCACGCGAAGACCUUACC
This 874-nucleotide ribosomal RNA is filed under the name uncultured bacterium. Its description in RNAcentral is "bacterial SSU rRNA". It matches the Rfam family "Bacterial small subunit ribosomal RNA", at positions 99 to 975 of the family's 1533-position model. The record is from RNAcentral.